GAMGCUGGCGGCGUGCUUAACACAUGCAAGUCGAMCGGAAAGGCCAGUGCUUGCACUGGUACUCGAGUGGCGAACGGGUGAGUAACACGUGGGUGAUCUGCCUUGCACUCUGGGAUAAGCUUGGGAAACUGGGUCUAAUACCGGAUAUGAGCYRCYUUUAGUGUGGUGGUUGGAAAGUUUUUUCGGUGCAAGAUGAGCUCGCGGCCUAUCAGCUUGUUGGUGGGGUAAUGGCCUACCAAGGCGUCGACGGGUAGCCGGCCUGAGAGGGUGUACGGCCACAUUGGGACUGAGAUACGGCCCAGACUCCUACGGGAGGCAGCAGUGGGGAAUAUUGCACAAUGGGCGGAAGCCUGAUGCAGCGACGCCGCGUGGGGGAUGACGGCCUUCGGGUUGUAAACUCCUUUCGACAGGGACGAAGCUUUUGKGACGGUACCUGUAUAAGAAGCACCGG
Molecule: ribosomal RNA, 451 nt
Filed under: Corynebacterium sp. 'ARUP UnID 237'
Lineage: Bacteria; Bacillati; Actinomycetota; Actinomycetes; Mycobacteriales; Corynebacteriaceae
Description: bacterial SSU rRNA
Rfam family: Bacterial small subunit ribosomal RNA
Source: RNAcentral